GCCAUCUAUAAUGCAAGAGAAAAGAGAAAGUCUUGGCUCAUUUGUGACUUUGGGGUGGAUUUUUUCUAGCUGACAGAGCAAAAGCAGGAAAUACUGAACAAACUUUCUUGAAUGGAAGAGUAUGGAAUGCUUUCUAGCCAAGAACCAGUGGUACCAGAUUUUAUUUCCAGUUCUGCCACACAGUUCAGGGAAGCAUGUUCUUCUUUUCACCCCAGUUCUCUCACUUGAAGAGUAGGACCACGGGGACCAGCCUCACUGAGCAGCAUUAUGAGACUUUAUGAAGCUGUCAGCCUUGAGCUCCUGACCUUCACCACAGGAGGCAGUGCUCCAGAGACCUCAUAGAGAGCUAAUGCACCUUUCUCCUACCCCGCAGCCACAGCACUUCUAAUCCUGCCAACACUCCCAGACUUGGAUAAAAAACAUGUGCUGUGGUCAAAUGUCCAGCCAGAACUAAACAGAUGUAUGCUCCUGAUUACCAGCCUGAAACAUUAGAGAACCUUUCCACAUUAACUGGAAGCAUUAACCCUGACCCCCAUAGCCUGCUCUAUGUGCCUGGCAGGCUGAUGGCCCACAGCAACUACCAACACAUAUCACAAUACUGCAGUAUGGAAGAGCAAACAGCAGGUACCUGGAGCCAUGGCAAUUUUCCCCUUCUCCUCCAAGAUGGCCUUCCCAUCAAAGGUGACAGCAGGCAGCAUCCUCUGUUCAAACAUGACAACGUUGCAUCUGUCCAAGUUGAAGUAGUUAUGUUGUACAAAAAACUCUUCUGUUGGCCCCAGUGUGAACUCACUUGUCAUGAUGUACCUGGGCAGGAAUGAGAAAGAACAACACAAGUGAAAGGCAAAACUACAGACUGAAAAGAGAGGAAUCCCAGGAGUGUGAAAUGAGAGACAUGGCAGCAUCCUGUGGUGAGCAAUUGCACACGAGAGCUCUCCUCCAGAACUCAUCCUGUGGUAAGGGCUGCAUGGGGUCCUAUGACCGUAUCAGGGCAUUAUCCUACCCUGGCCUAGCUCCAGCCAGGACAGAAGAGCCUUGCCCUAAAUGUGAACAACAUCUGCAUACCUGGAUGAGCUGGAAAACAAGACAUAGGGCAGAAAACAGCCUCAUUCACUCUAGAUUCAAACUGAUGUUAAAUGUCUAUAGAAACCCUGGCCAGUUCACUCUGCCAGCACCUCUUCAGUGCCAAGGCAAACAGCAGUAUUUCCAUAUGUUGGCUGCAUGGUUUGUUUUUGUCAUAAGUUUUUCUAUUUCCUCCUUUCCUUUCAGCUCCACAUUGCUUCUGUCUCUUCCUCCACCGCUGUCUAAAAGCCAACUUCAUCAUCUACCUGUCAAACUCUUCAACAACUAUCGGCGUAGGGAUACAGGGUCCUCUGUCAGCAUGAGGAAAAAGAGCCUGAACCUCAAUUCCCAUCCCCAAUUUUCAUCUCUGUAGCACACCAUAGCCUGGGCCCAGAUAUACUGGAGCAGCAAAAUGCUUCAACUGCCUCCUUGCUCCCAGAAGGGGAACUGGAAACAGAUGUGGCAUCUUGCAAAUAAUCCAUCCUGGCUUCCAGCAGCACCAGGAAUGAUGCAUUUGUAAUUCAGGUCCUGUAUACAAGGCUUCAGGAAGAAGCACAAUAUGGACUCAUGUUCCAUGAGGAAACAAUGUAUGAAUCAAAUCUGACCUCCAAUUUGUAAAACAACGUGGCUCCCUGAAGCCCUCAGACACCUGCUCUUUCACUGCCAAAACCCUGCCUCAGACCAGACACUGAUUCCAAAAGGGUAUUUCUACAUAGUCCUCAUGAUCUAACAGAACAUUUAGCAGACAACAUUUCCAGACACAUCUGCAGUGCCAUCCUCUCACCCACUACACCCCAUAGGGAAUUUACAUUUUGCACUCUGCCCAGAGCUCAUCUCUUUUGAAAGCCAGGAGCAGCCAGCAGAAUGGGCAACUGUAAACAGUGACAGCAGGAGGUGGCCUGAACACAAAGCAAGAGGUUUUUUGCAUAGAUUAUGGACAAGGGCAGGAAGAAGGGCUUGGAAGGCAAGCUCUAGGUUGUCCUCCAUGCAGGAACCUGAGAAAGCAGAAAUGGAUGAAAUUUCUUGUAAAGCAUCUGCAACAAUCACUGAAAAGUGCUGUUUACAGAGUUGUCAGUAGCUGCUUGCAAAGCCAGCAAGGUAUAGCACUUGUGGUAAAGUGUUAUGGUCAGUGAUACAAAGGCAGUACUCAAUCCCUCAGGUCUGCAGACAUAGACCUGCCACCUCUCAUCCCUCUGCACCCUCCUCCAGCUUCUGCCAUCACAAAUCCUGCCAACAAAAGGCUCCUCUCUACCUGUCUCUGUACAGCACCCAGCUCAGUGCUUCUUGAAGACAACAUGGGCAAGACUGGAAUGCAAAGAGCCCUGGACAGCAGGUCUGGCUUUAGGUCACCUACCACGGAAUGACACACUUGCAGUGGUGUCUCUUGCCAGCAAGCUGCUCCACUUUGCGGAUUCUUUCUGCUUGGAUCUGAUACAAGUUCUUGCCACUGGGCAACCCCACGUUGUACAUGCCCUUGGGAUAGCUGACUCCCAGACGGGUUCCUUGUCCUCCAGCCAGGAGUAGCACUGCCACCUUGUUCUGUGAAAUCUGAUGUAAACCUGUAAGAAAAGAAGCCCAAAGGAAUAUAAGAACUUCCAAAGCAAUCAACAUCCUAUGUUCUUCUCCUGAGCGUUUCUGCAGAGCUCAGGCAACAGCCAGAAGCUGCCAGUUCAAUGCUGGCAGCUCAGAGAGAAAUAUGCCACUGUACAUGCAGGAGAAAAUUCCUUUCAACUACUGGAUGGAACAGUUUCUUCACGUAAAGCAACAACUGGUGCAAAAACAGACAAUAGUCAUGAGCUGCAGCUCAGGAGAUUCAAAUUAGGAUACGAAAUCUUUAUUAGGGAGGUAAGACAUCCAGAGAGGAAGGAAUGUCCCCUAAGGUUUUCAAGGCUUACUUUAGUAAAGCUGUAGCUGACCUGGCCUGAGGCUGUUUACAGUUUUGUUCCAAAUGUGGGUUGGACUAGAGACCUCCAGAGGUCCCUUAUCAUUUCUAUAUCCCAAAGAAGCCAAGUCUCAUCAUCAUGAGUAAAGCAGGAAGAUUUCUGGAAUCUGCCUUAAUCAAUUAUCUUUACCUGUACUCCAGCUUCAACAGAAGCUGAACACAGCUGCAGUCAGGGCUAGUAAUACAGCCAAGCCUGCAGGAGCUACAACUUCCACAAUCUAAUUGAAACCAAUGUCAGUGCUCCUGACAAAUCAGGGAAGUCCAGAACCUGGGAAAGAAGCAGAGCACAUAAUAAACACUUGGAUCACUCUCAGACUCUGGUACCUGCCUUCUCCAAAGUCAGCAUCACAAUAAUGACUGACAACUGUGAGAAAGAUUUUUCAUUAGGGAACACUUUGAGUUUCUCUGGGGAUGCAAGGAACAUUAGGCUUGCCAUGUCAGAAGCCACAGCUCUGCUGCAAGUAGCUAUCACUAGCUAUGAGGGCCUUCUGCCAUCACACAGCACUAAACUGCCACUGCUCCUGCAGCCAAGGACAGCCUGUGGAGCACCCCAGCCUUCAGCAACCACCUCACAUUAACCACAGCUGAGGUUAAAAUAUUCCUGAUUUGGACUGAAACAUAUGGGGACCAAAGAAAUUUAAUUAGAAAAAAAACAGGACUGGGUUUAUGCUGAUCUUAAAACGAUUGGGUGUUUAAAUGAAUAAUAGAGCAAAAAUACCAACUGCUGUUUUAACAACCUAGCUCAAUUUUAAUUCUGUCCAAAACUGCAGCUUCCAGCAAUUUUCUCAGCAAAGACUUAAGUUGUCCAUGACAUUCCAGUAACACCAUUCCCCUUCCCAUGCUUACAAGUUUCAGUCUUACUACAGCAGUAACACAAGACUUUCUCCCUAAACACACGGCUUCCAAAAAGACUAGUGAUGUCCUGGCACAGAGGAGGCCAGUUCCACAGCCACGGUUCUGCUGUACAGUAGCCUCUGGGGUCACAGGGCCAAGGAGUGAGAGCUGGAAGCCACCUCUGGAGAUCUUCAAUCCUCCAAGUGGGAUUAGGAGAGCUUCCUAAGAAGAAACCUGUGUGUGGAGAUCUUGCGAUUUCUAAGUUUCAGAAGGUCCUUGGACAGCAGGGGAAGCUUGAGUAGGUUUAAAUUGGUAAUGUAAAACACAUGGAGGAUCUGGGUGAGCUGCAUGGUGAUGCAAGUAAGACAUACAGCAUUUCACAACAAACCAUAAGCAAUAAAUGACUCCUUUGUGCCUCCACUGAGCUCAAAGUGACGCUCAAAGUACAGAGCAGAGGGUCUCAGCUACUACUUACAACAAAUACUUGCCCCAGUCCCAUCACAUUCUUUUCCUGCAUGCUCAGCUGUUUGCCAGUGCAGGGCAUCACUGCAGGAGAAGGGAAAGAACUGAAUGGAGAGGCACCAGAGCAUGGCUCCAAACCUUCUCAUGCCCUGGCUUGGGUGGUGGCUGUUUCCGCCUACUGGGAUCCAGCACAGAAAGAAUUUAUGGAGCGGAAAAAAACUCCUAAAAAAGUUGCCCUGUGGGACACUUCCAAACUGUUCUGCCUCAUCCCUGGAAACGCUCAACACCUGGUUGGACAAGGCCCUGAGCAACUUCAUAUAGUGGAUGGCAUUCACACCCAUGGCAGGAGAGUUAGAAUAAGAUAAUCUUGUCCUUAACAUCCCUUCCAACCCAAACCAUUCGGUGGUUCUGUGACACAGGAAAUUAAAACAUUUUUUAAGAAUUCUUUUUCUUUAAAAUAAUCUACAACUGAAACUUGAGCUAAAGUACUUCACAGCAAUUUAAACCAAAGCUGCUUGAGGUCUGAGCUCAGCAUUUGCUGCUCUCAGUUGCUGUAGCAUGGGGGAUGCUGCUCUGGAAUGCAAUUGAGAUUCACCUACCAGUGGAACAAGUCAGGCACUUGUCCUGCUAGAUUUCCCCCCUGCACUGCCAGCCUCAAACCAACACACACACACAUUCUGAUGCAACAGACCAUAUCCCACAGAUCCCAAAUGAGGCAUUUCUGCAGAGCAAUAGAUUGUGACCAAGAGCACCAUUUACAUUUACUCUGAAGUCAACACUGUAUUGGGAAAGUCAAGGAGGUCCCUACUCUGCUCCACAGCAUCAAGGAGCUACAAUGCUCAGGCGCAGCUGGCAUCACCGCACUGAAAUGCAGAUGCCCCACAGGACAGUGCUGCAAAGUUUUCUACACAGUGACAAGGGGAUGGGAUCUGCCCAAGGAGGAGUUGCCAUCUCACACCCAUCUCCUGGAGGGGCCACUCACUGCAGGGUCUGAAACCUCAACCUCAGUGGGAUAAACUCAAGCCCAAAGCAAUAUCACUGAUAACAUCAAUGAUGUGACUUUUUUUACAGUCCAGCAGACUGACAGGGCCAUAUUCCAGGAGGGCUCACCAUGAUGAAUAAAAACAACCCAGACAGGGGAGUGCAUCUCAUCAUUUAUGGCAUUCUCAGUAUUUAUGAUACAACCCUACCACCCAGACAGUUUUUCCAAGUUCUGAUCUUAGGUCACCAUGAAAAUAAACAAAACCAAAAAUUUGAGUAAGUAGCUCUGCUCUGACUUCCCAACUGUAAAAUUACCAACAUUCACAACUAAAGUUCAUAAGAACUGACUCAUAUGCUGCAAUGGAAAGAUCUCCCCUUUAAAACAUCCACCUUAUUUUCUGCAGCAUAUGAAACACAAACAGCUCAACUAAAGAAAAAAUGUGUUGACUGCUGAGAUACCCACCAAUGCUGCAGUUAGUCCUACUCUGCAUAAAAAAUAAAAAUAAAAAUAAAAAUAAAAAUAAAAAUAAAAAUAAAAAUAAAAAUAAA
This is a long non-coding RNA of Passer domesticus (house sparrow), 5827 nucleotides long. RefSeq lists it as uncharacterized. The transcript has 2 exons. The record is from RefSeq and is a predicted model, not a curated record. NCBI's taxonomy places the organism in Eukaryota, Metazoa, Chordata, Aves, Passeriformes, Passeridae.